Non-coding RNA from Mustela erminea (ermine), 315 nucleotides. Lineage: Eukaryota; Metazoa; Chordata; Mammalia; Carnivora; Mustelidae. The record is from the annotation of a RefSeq genome assembly.
AUGAAUGCCAAACAUGAUUGCCAAAAUACUCGCAAAGGUGUCCAGUGUGAGGUGCAGCUGGUGGAGUCUGGGGGAGACCUGGUGAAGCCUGGUUGGUCCCUGAGACUCUCCUGUGCGGCCUCUGGAUUCACCUUCAGCAGUAAUGCCAUGAGCUGGGUCUUCCAUGGGCUGCAGUGGGUCUCACAUAUUAGCAACGAUGGAAGUAGCACAAGCGACGCAGACUCUGUGAAGGGCCAAGUCACCAGCUACAGAGAUGACACCAAGAACACGCUGUAUCUGCAGAACAGCCUGAGAACUGAGGAAAUGGCUGUAUAA